RNAcentral lists this long non-coding RNA (676 nucleotides) under Oryctolagus cuniculus (rabbit). RNAcentral describes it as "lncRNA (ENSOCUG00000034821.1)". The record is from RNAcentral. Lineage: Eukaryota; Metazoa; Chordata; Mammalia; Lagomorpha; Leporidae.
AGGGAGAGGACCAUUCCCAGAAUCCAGCAGGGGUAGCCCCCAAAGCCCUGUGCUGAGACUUUAGUGGAACAAACUUCAGAGGACCAGGCCUGAGACGGGCGCUUCUUCCUGGUUCUGCCAUUUGGUCUGUGGCCUGGGCAAGUCAUUUGCCUUUCUGAGCCUUGUUUUUUAUUCGCCUGUACAGUGAUGUUCAAACCUCGCGGCUGUCCACGGCUAAAUGGGGUCAGCAGUGACGGGUGGAUGGCAGGACCCCCUCAGGUCUCUGCAAGAAGAAAGGGAGAGGAGGGGCCGCCCCCCAGCCCUGCUGCUGUCUGGGGUGGAACCCUUGAGGCAGGCAGGUCAGCACCUCUACCCAGGCCUCCCGUGCUGCCCAGGACCCUCGUUCAGUUUGGCCCUGUGUGGCUGCCUCGGGCUACCCAGCUGCCUGCCAACCCCCAGUUGGCCCGCCGGUCCUCAGCGCCUGUAGCCCUCUGCCUCACUUCCUAUUAACACAAACCACGUGGGACCCUCGCGGUGGCGUCUGCAGGCAGGAGAGGAAGCCGUGGCCGCCUAGUGGCUGCUGGGAAGCCUGGCAGGAAGGGGCAUCUCCACCAGGCGUCUCCUGGGAGACAGCAAGCUCCCUGGAGAAGGGACAUUUGGAAAUAAAGCUCCUGCCGCGCGCUCUCUCUCUCUCUCU